RNAcentral lists this ribosomal RNA (431 nucleotides) under uncultured bacterium. RNAcentral's name for it is "partial 16S ribosomal RNA". It matches the Rfam family "Bacterial small subunit ribosomal RNA", at positions 29 to 507 of the family's 1533-position model. The record is from RNAcentral.
AACGAACGCUGGCGGCAGGCUUAACACAUGCAAGUCGAGCGCCCCGCAAGGGGAGCGGCAGACGGGUGAGUAACGCGUGGGAACGUACCUUUUGGUUCGGAACAACUCCGGGAAACUGGAGCUAAUACCGGAUAAGCCCUAACGGGGAAAGAUGUAUCGUCGAAGGAUCGGCCCGCGUCUGAUUAGCUAGUUGGUGAGGUAACGGCUCACCAAGGCGACGAUCAGUAGCUGGUCUGAGAGGAGGAUCAGCCACACUGGGACUGAGACACGGCCCAGACUCCUACGGGAGGCAGCAGAGGGGAAUAUUGGACAAUGGGGGCAAGCCUGAUCCAGCCAUGCGGCGUGAGUGAUGAAGGCCUUAGGGUUGUAAAGCUCUUUUGUCCGGGAAGAUAAUGACGGUACCGGAAGAAUAAGCCCCGGCUAACUUCGUG